UAGUUUGUUACAUACUCCUUGAAAUAAUUAUACUUGUUUCAUUCGAAAUGUCAAGAGGCAUGGGGUAAAUUGUUCAGCGCCAAGGUCUACGAUGUCAAGAUCCAUAGCGCCAAGGCUUUGCGCCAUCAUGGAUGGCACCAAGCCCCCGUCACGUCGGCAUCAGCGUCAGCAGCUGCGUAUGGAUCUUGGCGUCAGGAGGGUUGGCGCCGAGACAUGUAAGCUUAGCGCCAACGUGGAUGGUGACAAGCUAAGGGUUCAUAUUUUGAAAUGGUUCCGUCAGGAGCGUAUUUGUGAGAAUCUUAAAAAAAAUUAAAAAAUAAAAAAGACGGACCGUGCAUGCGGGGAGGUGGUGGACGCCUGGGCGGGCUAGGUGGUGGACCGCGGCGCUGGGCUGUCGGCUCCCACCGGGCGCCCGUAAACCUGACUGGCCCCGGCGUGGGUCACGAGGAAAACGUGGGGAAAUCCGU
This 467-nucleotide long non-coding RNA is filed under the name Setaria viridis. Its description in RNAcentral is "long non-coding RNA (SVIR_LNC001097)". Lineage: Eukaryota; Viridiplantae; Streptophyta; Magnoliopsida; Poales; Poaceae. The record is from RNAcentral.